CCUGAUCCUGGUCAGCGCUGGCAUUUCGCACCGGAGCUGGCCGAGCAGCGUGCGUCUGCGUGCAGGAGGCAGUGACGGGCAUGGCGCGGACUACGUCCGUCUGGCGUCUGGCUGGCGGAGGAGCUGGCCGACAGCGUGGAGGGAAGCGAUGCCGGUGGGACUGCAGCGGAGAGACUCGGAAGGAGGCAGAAGGGCCCAGGGGCAGGAUGUGCCAUGACGUGUCCCUUUGGAGCAGAAGCGGUGCUGCGCAGCUCAGUAGAGAGAAAAUCAAGCCGGCGGGCUCGGCCGCUUUCCCGCGCUGAAGGAGGGAAUGAGGAGCGUGCAAAUGUGGUGCUUCCCCCGAAAGCAGCGACUCUCCGAGGUAGGUGCAAACUCUGAAGUUAUGGACUUUAUUAAGAACUGUAGCUUACUAACAUCCAAUUAGAGAACUUCAACCUGGUGAAGUCAGAAGAACUCGAGCCCUCCUUACUUACCCAGAACUUAUAUAAAAGUUCUAAAUUAUAUAUAUAUAUAUAUAUCUCCAUAUAUAUUUUUAUAACUGUAUACCCUUUUAGGUUUAUAACUUCAGGUAAACCYAAGUUCUUUAUAAAAAGAGUUCUAAGUUAGAACUUUAGAGGCUUAAAACCUGCACAAAUUCUACAGCUUCUCAAGGUAUCGACCUUGGUAAGUUAGAACUCUUGGACUUAUUAAGUGUAAACUUAGAACUUUUUAUAAAAGUUGUAAAGUUCAUAAUUUACAGGUUAGAAGUGAUAAAGCUUUGUAGUAGACUACACUAUAAAGAUAUACACUUUCCAGAACKUUAUAGCUUGUUACUUCUAGUUUUAGGUUUAUAAUUUUAGUUAUUGAGUUUAUCCCAAUCUAUAGACUCGUGUAUAUAAAAGUGUAUAUCUUCAGAACUUUUAACUUUUAUAUAAGUUCUGGGUUUAUAAUGCUAAGUUUAUUUCUUUAUAAAUUGGAAAGUGUACAUAUACACUUUAUAUAAAGGUGUACCUUUAAACUUUUUAAAAAAGUUUAAAUAUAUAUAUUUGAAGCAUACACUCACUCUUAAAAGCAUACAUAGGUUUGUAUAUAUACACUUUAGAACAUAGACCGUCUUCCUCUUUUGAACUUCAGAACUUCCUUAUGAACUUAGAACUUUAUAAAGUAUAGAUACACUUUGUAAGUUUAUUUAUAUAUAAAUAACUUCAUCACUUAGGCCUUCUUACUUUUAGGUUUUAUUUAUUUACAACUUUAGAAACACCUAGGUUUAUAAAGUGUAUAAAUUAAUAACAUUUACACUGGAAACAUAUAAAGAACUUCUAA
RNAcentral lists this long non-coding RNA (1302 nucleotides) under Dromaius novaehollandiae (emu). RNAcentral describes it as "lncRNA (ENSDNVG00000018148.1)". The record is from RNAcentral. Lineage: Eukaryota; Metazoa; Chordata; Aves; Casuariiformes; Dromaiidae.